RNAcentral lists this ribosomal RNA (452 nucleotides) under uncultured Lactobacillus sp. RNAcentral describes it as "bacterial SSU rRNA". It matches the Rfam family "Bacterial small subunit ribosomal RNA", at positions 8 to 428 of the family's 1533-position model. Lineage: Bacteria; Bacillati; Bacillota; Bacilli; Lactobacillales; Lactobacillaceae. The record is from RNAcentral.
AGAGUUUGACCUCCUCCUGGCUCAGGACGAACGCUGGCGGCAUGCCUAAUACAUGCAAGUCGAACGAGCUUUGGUUGAUUGAUGUGCUUGCACUGAUUUCUUCCUGAAGCGAGUGGCGAACUGGUGAGUAACACGUGGAAAACCUGCCCAGAAGCAGGGGAUAACACUUGGAAACAGGUGCUAAUACCGUAUAACAACAAAAACCGCAUGGUUUUUGUUUGAAAGAUGGUUUCGGCUAUCACUUCUGGAUGGUUCCGCGGCGCAUUAGCUUGUUGGUGAGGUAACGGCCCACCAAGGCGAUGAUGCGUAGCCGACCUGAGAGGGUAAUCGGCCACAUUGGGACUGAGACACGGCCCAGACUCCUACGGGAGGCAGCAGUAGGGAAUCUUCCACAAUGGACGCAAGUCUGAUGGAGCAAUGCCGCGUGAGUGAAGAAGGGUUUCGGCUCGUAA